GGAACAAUAGCAAAGUUGGUCUAUGCGUCGGAUUGAAGCUCCGAAGAUACUGGUUCGAUCCCAGUUUGUUCCA
This 73-nucleotide transfer RNA is filed under the name Flavobacteriaceae bacterium. RNAcentral's name for it is "tRNA-Phe". It matches the Rfam family "tRNA". From Rfam's summary of the family: Transfer RNA (tRNA) molecules are approximately 80 nucleotides in length. Lineage: Bacteria; Pseudomonadati; Bacteroidota; Flavobacteriia; Flavobacteriales; Flavobacteriaceae. The record is from RNAcentral.